Long non-coding RNA from Anneissia japonica, 1590 nucleotides. RefSeq lists it as uncharacterized. The transcript is spliced from 3 exons. NCBI's taxonomy places the organism in Eukaryota, Metazoa, Echinodermata, Crinoidea, Comatulida, Comatulidae. The record is from RefSeq and is a predicted model, not a curated record.
CGUGACUCCUAGCUCCGCCUUCAGCUUCCGCAGCUACUGUGGUGUCUUCACUACUUAAAGGCUUCAUUUUGAGAUGAUAGCGCACAUGCUAGAUCUGUCGUGAUUUGUAUUUCAACAGCCAUUAUUAGUCGCACUCCAUCGAUACAUAACUCUCAGUCUAUUAUUGCCGGUAAAACAGUUAUCAACUAGCUGACAGAUAUUUAAAAAACACACACACACAAUGAGAAGGUCCAGGUGCUGUUUGGUUAUAGUCUGCGCACUGACAAUCAGUUUGUUGGUAGCUAGGUCGUCUGCAGAAGGAAAGGAGGAACGAAAGCUUUCAGAUGAACAGCGUGUAGCAAUUGGUUCAAUAAUGUCGGGUCAACGCAGCCGUCCGUGGCGCUACGGUCGCCGAUCAUGGAAUCCGAGGACCGAUCAGGAAUAUUCACUGUACAACGCCAAAGUCGCCGAUUUGCUACGUCAACGAGCGGCCGAACAGAAUGAGUAUGAAAACUAUAUAAAAUCGCUGGUAUCAAAUAACAUACCGCUUAAACCAAUGGCGUGGGAGGAAGAAUAACAAAAAAAAAAAAAAGCUGCAUGAUAGUACAAUAUAAACAAUAAGUCUAAUUUCAAUGUAUCUUAAUUUUCUCUUAUUUCAUUUAAACUAUGUGAAUUUUACUGAUAACAGCAGAAAAUUUUAAAAAAAUAAUUACAUCUUGAAUGUUAUUUUUUUAUAAAUGUUAAUUUUCUUGUUUUAAAUACACUCAUGUUUUAAUAAAAAUAAUAAUAGGCCUAUGUUAGACUUAUAUAAGUCUUAUUUACAGGUUACCUAUUUUCUUUGCUAUAUCACGAAACUAAUUAAUGGUGAACACUUGAUAAAGCUGUGGCAAACGAGUUCUUGAUUUGUGGUCAUGAUUUGUGACAAAUUCACCUUUCCAGUUACAAUAUAAUGUACAUUUUAUGCGUAUCUAUUAAUUGUAUAUAUACAACUAAAUAAGUAUAUAUAUAUAUAUAUAUGUAUAUUAUAUAUAUUGCACUACUAAAUAAGUGUGUAUCUAAUAUUAUAUAUACAUAUAUAAUUUUCCACUUCUCAAUAUAUAUAUAAUUAUAAAUAUAUAUAAUGAUGUGGAGAACUCCGAGAUAAUUAUUUAUUAAACAAAUAUUUCGUCAGAAUUUUUUUUAUCACUAUAUUAAAUAUAAAUAUACUUUUGGUACUUUUGGUUGUAAGACUGUUUAUCAAACUAUGACAGAUCAAAUAAUAACAUUUGUAUAACCGACCUAUGAAAACAAAAUUUACAAAUAUUUGACAAUUGAAAUAUAUAAAUAGGCGCAUCCAUUGCUGGACAAGUGUCGAAAACGUAUAUAAUUUGCACUAUUCAUUUUAUUCUAUGUUUUUAUGUGUAUUAGCGUCCAUAAAAAUAUAUAUAUAAAUAAAUUUUCAUUAUGAAUAAUAUAGAUAUAUGUGUGUAUAUAAUUAUAAUGAGAAGUGAUGAAUGUAAUUUCAGUUUUUCUUAAGAAAUUACAUCAAUCGAAGUCUAGAGAUGAGCAAUGCAUCGUUGAACAACUACUUAUCUGUAUUGGUUCAGGCGAAUAAAGCGUUAAUUCUAACGG